This is a long non-coding RNA of Melospiza melodia melodia, 663 nucleotides long. RefSeq lists it as uncharacterized. Lineage: Eukaryota; Metazoa; Chordata; Aves; Passeriformes; Passerellidae. The transcript has 4 exons. The record is from RefSeq and is a predicted model, not a curated record.
CAUUAUUUUCCCAUUGAAACCCCUGGGCCUGUCCUGACAAGGCAGGGCUGUUUGUGGGGCAGGGUCUGCGCUUUCCUGGCUUGGAGCAGCUGAAAUUGGAGUCACAGUCUCCCAAAGAGAUCCCACCACCCUGUGAUGGCCCUGGUCCCCCUGCUGCCCUCCUCAGCACCCAGAAGCCUUCCAGAAGGGUUUUUGCAUUUAUUUCAGGAUCUCAGCUCCUCUCCACAGCCCUGAAUUUCCCACAAGAGCAAUACCUAACAAAUCCAAAAAAAGCAAGGAAUGAAAGAGAAUUGGGAAAACAUUCAACCCAAACAAAACCAGCAGUCAUGGAGCAAGAGAUACUGAAGAAACAGAAGCAGAGAAGUGCAAGCAGAAAGACCACAAAACACCUGGAAGCAUUAAACAUAUGAACCUCUCUAUGGCUCGGUUUGUGCUUUAUCCUCACUGUGACAUGACCAGGGAGAAAAACUCACACCAAGACUUGCAGAACCUGAAUUAGCUGAAGGAAAGCUGCAGCAGACAAGCCCAGUUGUGUGCCCAUGCUCUCUCACCCAUCACUGCAGCAGCGCAAAGAGCAGGGGGCUCUGAAAAAGCACAAUUUUGUUCAGAUCCCAGCUGUUCUUUUUACAAACCUGACAAGCUCUCAAGGCUGGAAAACUGCUG